Long non-coding RNA from Mus musculus (house mouse), 1295 nucleotides. RefSeq annotates it as predicted gene, 36122. Lineage: Eukaryota; Metazoa; Chordata; Mammalia; Rodentia; Muridae. The transcript has 4 exons. The record is from RefSeq and is a predicted model, not a curated record.
UAGGGGCUGCCUGUCAGGAGGCUUUCUUUCUGAUCUCUCAGCCCUGCCUCCAAAGGUGCCUGCAUGAUGAGGGCUUUCAGCAAGCCUGCCUCUACUGCCCAGCUGGGAGGUCUUUGCUGGCUGUGUUCUCCUGGGAGGCCUCUCCCCACCACAAACAGAUGGGCGCUGAUGUCAGCAGCAGGCACCAUUGCUGUCAGCACUAAUGGGUUACACCCAAGAGCCAAUGGAAAGCUGUGUGGCCUCCUCUGGGCCUCACCCCAAAGGGGAGGCUAGGCCAAAGGCCCCUGUUGAGUUCCUGGUGUAAGUGGCAAGUUCGUGGUGACCCAAGGCUCAAACCUGGAGUCUCUAUGGUAAAGGAAUUGGAAAGCCUUCUCACAGGGUAUCGUGUGCAGAGAAAAAAAAGACGCGCCAUGGUUUCUACUUCCCAGAUGAAGAAACUGAGAUCUUUAAGCCCAAGAAAGGCCAUGAAGAUUGAGUAUAGAACUCCUUCAAGAGCACAUUUGUUUCUGUGCAUGUGCAGAGUGUGACACAGGGGAAACUAGGAAUCACCAGACAGAUGCAGAAAGGACUGACUCCUGGGGCUGCUGACCACUGUGCAUGCACGUGUGCAUGCAUGUGUGUGCACCUGUCUCCCAAAUCAGGGAAGGAAGAGCCAGGCAGGUGCCCUUUGGGGUAAAGUUGAAACAUGGCUCAAGAGUUGAUGUGGACCCAAUCCCGUCUGACUUUGUAAGACAGGCACAUGCAUUUGUGGGCCACAGCUCACAAGCAGAGGUCAGAAGACAACUUCCAGGGGACAGUCUUUUCCUUCCACCAUGUGUGUCCUAGGGAUGACGAUGAUGGUUCCGAGCUGCCAUGUGGGUGCUGGGAACCAAACCCGGGUCGUCUGCAAGUACAACAGAGAAAAAUCAUGAAGAUGUCAUAAGCGUCUAUCUUGUCCUGGACUGAAACUUGGCUCAUCCUGUUUCGAGAAUUCAUGGAACUUUCCUGUCUAGCCAUCCCAAAGCCCUUUCAUGUGACUGGCAAGGUAGCAUUCAGGCAAGCAUGCAAAAGAUUAGCUCUGAGAAUAGAGGUGUCAAGCAAAGUAUAAUUAAUGCAUUAAAUGAGGCCAGGGCUAAGAAUCGUGUCUGAAACUGUGUUCACACAAUGGCAAGGAGGGGAACAAUGUGUGGUCGCUGUCGCCAUUAAUAGCUCACCGAUUGUCAAUGCAUAAUUGCAGCUGACCUGCUCCACUGAAACCUCAGCUGUGGUGUGUGUGUGUGUGUGUGUGUGUGUGUGUGUGUGUACAUGUGCAAGUC